Molecule: ribosomal RNA, 253 nt
Filed under: uncultured bacterium
Lineage: Bacteria
Description: partial 16S ribosomal RNA
Rfam family: Bacterial small subunit ribosomal RNA
Source: RNAcentral
UACGAAGGGUGCAAACGUUGCUCGGAAUCAUUGGGCGUAAAGCGCACGUAGGCGGCUUUGCAAGUCGGAUGUGAAAUCCCGUGGCUCAACCAUGGACGUGCAUUCGAAACUGCGAAGCUUGAGUAUGGAAGAGGGUCGCGGAAUUCCCGGUGUAGAGGUGAAAUUCGUAGAUAUCGGGAGGAACACCAGUGGCGAAGGCGGCGACCUGGGCCAAUACUGACGCUCAGGUGCGAAAGCGUGGGGAGCAAACAGG